RNAcentral lists this long non-coding RNA (364 nucleotides) under Oryza sativa aus subgroup. Its description in RNAcentral is "lncRNA OsNaBo_03g0023610". Lineage: Eukaryota; Viridiplantae; Streptophyta; Magnoliopsida; Poales; Poaceae. The record is from RNAcentral.
CAAUUUGCUUAUAGGCUUUAUUUGCUAUCUUUUCGUAUCCGUAAGUUAGACCAUACAACAAGUUCUAUCGGCAUCCAAGGAGCUGACGUGGACCUAGAUGGCUACGCUGAAGCCGAUUGGGGUGAACGCAUGUGUAAGGAGGUUGGGGGCAUGGUUCACAACGGUGGAACCCGUGAAAGCAGCGACCAAGUAGCCUUGCUUAGGCCCAGCAAGUGCCCGACUGCUAGGACGGAUCAAUAUCCCACUCGUGCAGUAACUAGUAGUAAGUGGGACCUUCAAACGGCUCUGUUGUUCUCAGCCCCAGCUAGCUGUGGGCAUCGUGUGGGUAAAGCUAGACAGUCUCUGCAGAGAUGAAUUAAAUCAU